AAAUCCGUCGACUUUAUAAAUCGUGAGGGUUCAAGUCCCUCUAUCCCC
This 48-nucleotide transfer RNA is filed under the name Adoxa moschatellina (townhall clock). RNAcentral describes it as "partial tRNA-Leu". The record is from RNAcentral. Lineage: Eukaryota; Viridiplantae; Streptophyta; Magnoliopsida; Dipsacales; Adoxaceae. RNAcentral also lists the same sequence under 11 other names.